CUAUGUACCUAUGUAACUGAACUUCCAGUUCAUAGUAGAAAUGGUGAACACUAACUACUUAUAUAUAAUAAUAUAUCAACGUUCCCGAAAGCCUGCUAAACAACUUUCCAACUCCAUGCAAGAAACCAUUUUCAUGCUUUAUUCUGCUUACAAAUCCAUCGUUACCAACUAUAUACUCCGUAUACCUUCGUGCGCAAACAAUUCGAUCUGCCAUAUAAUAGUACAAAAAGAUAUGAUACCUUGCCUCUAUCCUAGCAGCCCCCCGGGGAUCGAUGAGUGAGCUUAAUAACAGCGUGAUUAGUCUGCGCAAGCUUAAUUGCUCCAACUCACCGGAUCUACGUAAUACUUCCUCCAUUUUCAUAUGAUAGUUUUAUUUAAAAUCUGAAGAUUUUCAUAUGAUAGUUUUAUCUAAAAUUUGAAAAUUUAAAGAUUGAUAGUCUUAUUUGAGCUCACUCAUCAAUUGCCUCUAGGGCCCAACACCCAUUAACUGCGUCGGAGUAAAUUAUUGAUGCCUCGGGAAACGACACAAUGUUUCGACUUCGCGUGCCUGUGGAUAAAAACCGGCUGCAUGCAGGAGGGGUGUUAAAUACUGUUUGUUUAGGUAAAUAAUGAUGGGAUAAGUAGGAUUGAUAAGCAAUGUUUUUUUUCCUUGAUCAUUGUACCCAUUCUAAAUAAGACUAUCAUCUAUGAAUUAUGAAUGGAGGGAGUAUGUUUCGUAUCAGAGCAUCUCCAAGAGUUUGCUAAAUGAAGUUGGCAUCCUAGAAAAUUUGGCAAAACAAGAAAAUUUCGUCUCCAAUAGUUUGGGAAACAAGGUUGGCAUUUUUAGCAACUUGGCAUUCCUCCCGUCCGCACACGCAUACGCGCGCGUAUCUGGCUGCGCAUCGCGGUCUCACGCACCGGCGCUGGACUUCCCGCGCGGUCGAGGAAAUUUCCUCGCCUCUUUCCCGCGCCAAGCCCGUGUCCCUUGUCCCGCCGCCUCCUUCUUGGUCGCGAUUUUUUCCCGUGGCUGUCUCCUCCUUCAGUUCCCUCGCCAAGGCCGCCUCCUCCCCAGCAGAUCCCGACGCCUGCGGCUCUCAAACUCAUUAAGAUGGAAGGAGAUGGAUUCUUGUCAGACAUUCUACUCGAUGCAGAUGAUUCUGAUGUUGCUGGUUUGGAAGAACUCAACACUCCGAACACACAAGACACUUGAGUGCUCCUGUAGUUGAACCAAGUCGCAGUACAAAGGGAUCGAAGAGGACCAAAAAUUUUCAUUGGGAGGAAGACGAAGUUAUAUGCUCGGGCUGGUUCUACAUUAGCAAAGAUCCCAUUAACGGGGCCAAUCAAACUCGUUCCACAUUUUGGAGUAGAGUACAUGCUUUCUUUGAGAAGGAUAAUAAAACCACAGCUGUGAGGUCAGAGAGUUCCAUUAUGCAUAGGUGGCUAAUAAUUCAGGCUCAAGUUAACAAGUUCUAUUAAUGCAAUGCUGCGAUUGAGCGUAGGAAUAAAAGUGGAACAACAAUCCAAGACAAGAAACCUCCAAGAUGUACAUGGAACUAGAUAAGGACAAAAAGUCAUUUACUCUUAUACCUUGUUGGAACAUAUUGAAAGAAGAAGACAAGUGGAAAGACAAGAUGAUAGAACUUGCCGAGCUGGAGAAGCAAGCAGACAAGAAAAAAAACAAGUUCACCAAGGUGUCCAGGCCAAGGGAUGAAGCCACCAACAAUGAAGCUAUCACAGAUGCUGUUGCUCAGUCAACCGAAGAAAGGAAAAGGCCACAAGGGAUAAAGAAAGCAAAAGAAGGUCUCAGGCGAGGAGGUGGCGAAGCUUGCAUGGAGGCAUUGGACAAGAUGUGGGCGAAGAAGGAGGCCUUCGACAAGGAAAAAGAAAAGGCGAAAGAGGAGAGGUUUAUGGCUUCGCUUGAGGUAGACAAGGCUGCACUAGAGCUAGAGAAGAAGCGAGUGUCAAAUGAAGAAAAAAAGCUGAAGCGGAAUUGCUCAAGGAGGAAAAAGAGAUAAUGUUAGUGGACAAGAGGUCUCUCAACCCGCUGCAGCUGCAGUACAUUGAGAUGAUGCAGCUGAAGAUCAUUGCUCGACGCAAGGAAAAUUAGUUUUAGUGUCAGCUAGAGAACUUUUUCAUUGUCACCUUCAGGUUCACUAUCAUGACCUGAAAACGGUACUUCCUGCGCAACAACAGGUUACAGGCUGCAAAAUAUGCUAGCAAGGACAGCAUCAAGUGCACAGCAAAUUCAAAUAAUAUAUAUCAAUAUGAAAUAAACAAUGCACCGAUUGGAGAGGUUUAUUUGCAAUGUUCCAA
This is a long non-coding RNA of Panicum virgatum (switchgrass), 2292 nucleotides long. RefSeq lists it as uncharacterized. NCBI's taxonomy places the organism in Eukaryota, Viridiplantae, Streptophyta, Magnoliopsida, Poales, Poaceae. The transcript has 3 exons. The record is from RefSeq and is a predicted model, not a curated record.